UCAUCUAUCGAGGUUGAUAGAUCCCAUCUUGGUGCGAUCUGGUUCCUACAAUGAAUAUGCUACAGCCAACAUACACCUCAGGGUUCCAAAUGGCUAGAAGAUCAAGUUAUGGUGUAAUCAAACUAUAACAUGCUCAAGGUAAACUGUCGAUGCACCUUAGGUCAAAGAACUAGACACACAACUACAGCAUCGAGCUAGUCAUCGAUGAGAAGGUAGACUUUCUUAUGACUGCU
This 233-nucleotide long non-coding RNA is filed under the name Elaeis guineensis (African oil palm). RNAcentral describes it as "long non-coding RNA (EGUI_LNC055156)". Lineage: Eukaryota; Viridiplantae; Streptophyta; Magnoliopsida; Arecales; Arecaceae. The record is from RNAcentral.